AACGAACGCUGGCGGCAUGCCUAACACAUGCAAGUCGAACGAGACCUUCGGGUCUAGUGGCGCACGGGUGCGUAACGCGUGGGAACCUGCCCUUAGGUUCGGAAUAACUCCCCGAAAGGGGUGCUAAUACCGGAUAAUGUCUUCGGACCAAAGAUUUAUCGCCUUUGGAUGGGCCCGCGUUGGAUUAGCUAGUUGGUAGGGUAAAAGCCUACCAAGGCGACGAUCCAUAGCUGGUCUGAGAGGAUGAUCAGCCACACUGGGACUGGGACACGGCCCAGACUCCUACGGGAAGCAGCAGUGGGGAAUAUUGGACAAUGGGCGAAAGCCUGAUCCAGCAAUGCCGCGUGAGUGAUGAAGGCCUUAGGGUUGUAAAGCUCUUUUACCCGGGAUGAUAAUGACAGUACCGGGAGAAUAAGCUCCGGCUAACUCCGUG
This 433-nucleotide ribosomal RNA is filed under the name uncultured bacterium. RNAcentral describes it as "partial 16S ribosomal RNA". It matches the Rfam family "Bacterial small subunit ribosomal RNA", at positions 29 to 507 of the family's 1533-position model. The record is from RNAcentral.